This is a long non-coding RNA of Perognathus longimembris pacificus (Pacific pocket mouse), 673 nucleotides long. RefSeq lists it as uncharacterized. The record is from RefSeq and is a predicted model, not a curated record. NCBI's taxonomy places the organism in Eukaryota, Metazoa, Chordata, Mammalia, Rodentia, Heteromyidae. The transcript has 3 exons.
AAUAAAAUGAAUAGAGAAUUCUAACAUUUUCUUAGUGACAAGAAAGUGAGGAAUUGUAUGACAGAAAACAAGGUGUCAUUGAUAAUUCAAUGAACACAUACCAAUGCCUCGGAUGACAUAAGUCAUUAGGAAUUUUGAUUUGUUUGGAAAAUAAGUUCAGGAGAGAGAUUAGUGAUAGAUAAUCACAAAAAACAACAACAUUAGAGUGUAGAAACAGGUGGGAAACCUGGGAGACAGUGGGGGAAGGGGUGACUUAUGUACCUGUAACCCCUCUGUACAUCACCUUUAUGAUAACAAUAAAAAAUUUAAAAAUUAGAUACCUAUGUAACACAAAUUACUCUUGUAAGUGUUUACAUGUACUAGUUCAUUAACUAUAAUAACCACUCUGUUCUUAUUUUCAUAUUACAACCAGAACAAAAAUACGUAAUUUACCAAAGUUAUGUAAUAGUAAGAGAAUAUAAUUCAGCUAGUAGAAAUGGGUUCUAGAGGCAAGAAGUUGCUGAUUCACAAAGGACUACACGUGCAUAAUUUAACAAUUUGGAUAAGCAACAGGAGUAGUUAUAUGAUUCUGUUCAUGUUUCAGAAUGUUUUCUUGUACUAUUUUUAUAUCUCCAAUAAUAAAUGAAAAUAUGUGUGUGUGUGUGUGUGUGUGUGUGUGUGUGUGUGUGUGUGU